GCAACCCUUGUCCUCUGUUGCCAUCACGUUAUGGUGGGCACUCUGAGGAGACUGCCGGUGAUAAACCGGAGGAAGGUGGGGAUGACGUCAAGUCAGCAUGGCCUUUAUGUCUGGGGCUACACACGUGCUACAAUGGCCGGUACAAAGCGUCGCAAACUCGCGAGGGGGAGCUAAUCGCAGAAAGCCGGUCUCAGUUCGGAUUGUAGGCUGCAGGGAGACCUGCAUGAAGUCGGAAUCGCUAGUAAUCGCGGAUCAGCAUGCCGCGGUGAAUACGUUCCCGGGCCUUGUCUUCACCGCCCGUCACAUCACGAAAGCCGGCUGCACUAGAACUCUCCAUGCUAACCCGCAAGGGGAGCAGGCGCCUAAGGUA
Molecule: ribosomal RNA, 370 nt
Filed under: uncultured Acidobacteriota bacterium
Lineage: Bacteria; Pseudomonadati; Acidobacteriota
Description: bacterial SSU rRNA
Rfam family: Bacterial small subunit ribosomal RNA
Source: RNAcentral